Long non-coding RNA from Macaca fascicularis (crab-eating macaque), 1810 nucleotides. The record is from Ensembl. Lineage: Eukaryota; Metazoa; Chordata; Mammalia; Primates; Cercopithecidae.
UUUUUUUUUUUUUUUUUUUUAGGGGGGCAGGGGACGGAGUCUUGUUCCAGUGUCAGACUGGAGUACAGCGGCACGAUGUUGGCUCACUGCAACGUCUGCCUUCUAGGCUCAAGUGAUUCUCCUGCCUCAGCCUCCCGAGUAGCUGGGACUACAGGUAUGCACCACCACACCCAGCUAAUUUUUGUAUUUUUAGUAGAGACUAGGUUUCACCAUGUUAGCCAGGAUGGUCUCGAUCUCUUGACCUCGUGAUCUGCCAGCCUCGGCCUCCCAAAGUGCUGGGAUUACAGGCAUGAACCACCAUGCCUGGUCAAGAGCACCUUCUUUCAACAUGGUUCCCAAAGUUGGAAUUUGAGACUUUCCUUCCUGUUUCUCUCAUUUUCAAUAGUAGGAGUUAGACUGAGCUUUAAUAGGAUGUGGAAGGAGAAAAACGUGCCCUUAGGCUGGUGUUCUCAAUGACAGGACAGAGAAGAGGAAGUUGCAGGGAUUGAAGGUGGUGUUGAUUCACUUCCCAGCUCUGGUGUCCUUUCACGUAGAAAGCAUGCUGGUGAGUCAGGUCUACCUGGAUACAAGGCUUGGAAGGCAACGAGGUAUACUAGAAUGAGAUGCUUUUAAGCCCAAGGAGUUGGGUUCAAACCCUCAAAUAGUCACGUAAAUCUCUCUGAGCCUCAUGGGGCUGGUAGAAAAUACUCAAGGGAUAGGGUGUUUGUGAGGAUCAAGGAAGUUAAUAUAUGUGGACACUCUCUUUACAUAGUAAAAUAUUAUAAGUUGCUAUUAAAUGAUUAUUGAUAAGAUCACAUAGGUUCUGGAAAGAUACAAAUAGGUGAAAUUUCUUAGGGCAUGCAUCUUCAUUCAGUCCUGCUGUUUCGCCUUCCUUAGUUCUACUACCACCCCCAGACCCUAGGCUGCUGCGUGGGAGCCCCAGCUCAAAAGCAGAAGCCCUAGGGUGCUGGCAUGGGCUUCUCAGAGCCCUGUGGGGCUGCCCGCAGCCACAGCACAGCCAUGAGCAGGGCAGCCAACAGGAAGCCCAGGAGAAAACCACUGUGAGAGGCCACAGAGGGACACAGGGACACCGUCAUCGGCACUGAGCCAGGGCAGGUAUAAGAAACAAGCUGGAAGCCCUCACUUCUGGCCCAAAUGCUUUGGAUAGGCCAGAAUCCCAGAGACAGGAACAUCAGAGAAGCCAGCUUCCCUCUUAUGACCAGGCCCUGGCUUCUUCAUGUCCUUAGGGUGGAGUCUACACACCACUCCCAAAGGCAGGGUCUGUAAUUCUUCCUUUGCCAAGAAGGUGGGGUGGAUGGUACGGGGAUCUUGGGAAAGGUCUCCUUUCUCAGUCUUCAUGGGCUGCACUGUCAAUUUCUCAAUGACCAAACUUUAAUGUUCCAGGCAAUGAGGCUCUUGGCCAUAAGGUGUCCUCAUGUUACAGAAAUGACCUCCUCUGACCCAGUCACUCCCAAACUGUUUCCACUCUUCCUUAAGUGAUAACUUUAACGACAAGUCUCAUGCAUACAGUAAUUUCUUAUCCUUUCUUCCAAGAGUUCAGUUCAGUCCAGCAACUGGCUACUAACUACUUACAGCUGAGCACAGAUUUCAUGCAGAACUGUGUAAAGUUGUCCUCGGGAAGACAAAUACAGCAGCCAGUUCCUGCCACCGAGCAGCACACAGUCUGGGUGUGGAUAGAGACUUCACGUCCCCACCAUGAAUGGCUGUGUUUUAGAGUUCAUUACCCGAAAAGAAACACAGGGUGGGAGGCAUGUGGAGAAUAAAGUGAGCAGGCUGGAUGAGGUCUUCUUCAUGGAAGAGAGACUGGCCC